UAAUCUUUUUCCUAUUCUUCUUCUCCCCCUUUCUUGUUCUGAUUAUCAAAUUUGAAACCCAUAUCAAUCUCUUCCUCUAUUAAAGCCACCAACAACACACAAUUAAUACAAAUAAAUCACCAUAAACACAUAAUAAUUAUUUUCUUCCUUUUCUUCAUCUUUUUCCUCCUUCUUCAACAUCACCCUCAUUGAACACAAAAUGAAACAUAACACAACCCAGAAAUCAAACACAUAACGAAGCAUAUACAACCCAAAAAAAAUUCAAAUCAAAAUGAACACGACCCAUAAAUCAAACGCAACCCAUAACCGAAAUUGAAAAGUGAUGAUGAUGAUGAAAAUCGAAAUCGAAUAUUGAUAUGUUGCUCCUUCCUUCUUCUUUUCCCUGUUUUUAUUUUAUUUCAUGGUGGUGAUGAUGAUGCUGAUGAAAGAAGAGGGUUAAAUCUGUGAGCUGCUGCUGCAAAUUGAAUCGAAGCGAGAAAGAAAAUCGGACAAUUUCGUCUUCACCAUGGGAAAACUCCAUGGAAGUCUUGCUCGUAUUGGUAAAGUGAGGGGACAAACCUAUGCAAUACAAUCGCCUUCGUCACCGCCGUGGUGGGAUUAGUGGAAGUUUUUUUAAUUAGCUUGGUGAAGUGUUACUUUUUUAUUUUAUUUGAUUCAUGAAUUGUGGACCUAACAACAUGACUAUUUGAUUCAUGUUCAGAAGCGUGGACCUAUUUAAUCAUACAUGGACAUGAUUCUGGUUCUUAAGUUUUUUUCUGGAUUCAUGGAAGAUGGAUUAAGAUGAUGAAGAAGAUGGACACAAGUGAGAAAAAUAUUAGGUGUUAUAGGCACACAAUAAAAUACAAUAGACUCUACAUGAUCCAACAAUCCUCUUUUAAACAAAAAAUUAAAGGGUUACAAUUAAAUUUUUUACUAAGGUCCAUGGUGGAUCACCUUGAAAUAUGGUUCACCUUAGAGAUUUGCUGUUAAAAAUUAACAGAAAGGAUCAUUUUGGUAAACAGAGGUAUAUUUAUGGGACCAAAUUGAGACACUUUAUAGUUAGGGGACCAAAAUGAAAUUCAAAAAUAAGUUAAGGGACCAAAGCAUGUAUUAAGCCUAUAAAUUAUGGGGAAAUGUUAACAAGUGUCCCCUAGACACUUCUUAAGCACUUUAAAUGAUAAGUUUUUUUUUUUUUUUUUUCCUUAUGAAAAGUUGUGUAUUCAUUGUAUUGAAAAUUGUAAUAGUUGACUUUUGAAAAGAGUAAUUGCUAAAUUUGAAUCCUUAAAGAGUUCUCCGAGGGCACUCAUUAACAAGAUCAUUUUCUUUGUACUCCCUCCGUUCCAAAUUAUAAGAAAAAAA
RNAcentral lists this long non-coding RNA (1338 nucleotides) under Medicago truncatula (barrel medic). Its description in RNAcentral is "lncRNA gene40142". Lineage: Eukaryota; Viridiplantae; Streptophyta; Magnoliopsida; Fabales; Fabaceae. The record is from RNAcentral.